GGAAGUGGUGUUGAACCGCGAUUCCACACAGCUCUCUCCUCUCUUUUCUUUUUAAAAAAAAGCUCCUUCAUCUAGUUUUCCUGACCUAAAUUAUCAUUUUGCUUUUAUCAUCUGUGGGCCAUAUGUCCUGGUUUCACACCGUCCAGCCACAGUAGGCUUGGACAGGGCGGAGGGGGGAGACUACAACUCCCGGAAGCCUCGCCGCCGACCUCGCCCUCCGUCUGGGCUGGACUCGCCUGGGUGACACGUCGGGCAGCCAAUGGCUUCCCCCUGUCUCAGACCCGGGGGCCAAUCACAGGCCGGGUAGGUGUGUGCGUCCUGUUUCUGCGACUCGGGGCGGACAUGGUCUUGAACCCAGCUCACUUCUCUCUUUUCUUAUUUUUAUUUUAUUUUAUUUUAUUUUUUGAAGGCAGAGUGGACAGUGAGAGAGAGACAGAGAGAAAGGUCUUCCUUUUGCCGUUGGUUCACCCUCCAAUGGCCGCUGCGGUCAGUGCGCUGUGGCCAGCGCACCGUGCUGAUGCGAUGGCAGGAGCCAGGUGCUUUUCCUGGUCUCCCAUGGGGUGCAGGGCCCAAGCACUUGGGCCAUCCUCCACUGCACUCCCGGGCCACAGCAGAGAGCUGGCCUGAAGAGGGGCAACUGGGACAGAAUCCGGCGCCCCAUCGGGACUAGAACCCGGUGUGCCGGCGCCGCAAGGCGGAGGAUUAGCCUAGUGAGCCGCGGCGCUGGCCUUCUCUCUUUUCUUGAAAAUAAAAGCUCUAUGAUCUAAUUUUCCUGACCUAAGUUAUCAUUUUUCUUUUAUCAUCUGUGGGCCAUAUUCCCUGGUUUCACAUUGUCCAGCCACGCUCGGCUUGCACAGAGCGGGGCGGGGAGACUACAACUCCCCAAAGCCUCAGCGGCGGCGGCGACGCUCUACGUGUGGGCUGUACUGGCCUGAGUGACAGGUAGCCGACCCAAUGGCUUCCCCGGUCUCAGACUCCGGACCGCUCAGACGCGGGGUGGGUGUGUGCUUCCUGUUUCGGAGGCGUCUGCUCGGGGCGGAAAUUCUAUAUGUAAGAGCUGAGAAAGCUUUCUUUUCUUUCAAAAAAAAAAAAAAAAGCUGUGGGGCCUAAUUUUCCACCUGAGCUAUCAUUUUCCUUUUAUCAUCUGUGGGCCAUAUUUCCUGGUUUCACAUUGCCCCGCCACCCUCUGCUUGGACAGGGUGGACCGGGGAGACUACAACUCCCCAAAGCCUCAGCGGCAGGGCGCUCUGCGGCUGGGCUCGUCUGAGUGACAGGUCGGGCAGCCAUUGGCUUCACGCGGUCUCAGACUCCGUUGCCAAUCAGAUGCUGAGUGGUUGUGUCGCCCUGUUUCUGCGGCUCGGGGCGGAAAUGGUGUGGAAAGGAACCGCCUCGAGCCACGCCCCUCGCGGCUCCUGACUGGACGCGGGAAGUGACGUCUGCGCGCACCACGCGGCAGUCGUCCCGCCCAUGUCCAGCUCGGACCGGACCGGGCAGCUUCGGGUCUGUGUCCCGCACGUCCCUGGCAGCCCCUGAGCGGGCGCGUACCCGCCUGUCCGUCCGCCAGAACCUCGCCCUGUAGCUUGGCCCUGCCUGCCCUUGUCUGGGAGGAGGAACGCGCAGUAGGAGCCCAGAACCUGUCUUCUGCCACGCUGCCUGCCCGCGCCCAGCACGGGCGGGACAGGCCGGACUGUUCCUCCUCAUCCAGCAGAGCCACUCAGGGCCGGCCAGAGGGCGAGGUUCUGAACCUAGACCUGCGCCUCACUCGUCCAGGGAGGCCAGGCAGCCACCGGCGAGGAAGGAGGUGGCGUUCUGAG
This is a non-coding RNA of Oryctolagus cuniculus (rabbit), 1814 nucleotides long. The record is from RefSeq and is a predicted model, not a curated record. Lineage: Eukaryota; Metazoa; Chordata; Mammalia; Lagomorpha; Leporidae.